This is a non-coding RNA of Vicugna pacos (alpaca), 221 nucleotides long. Lineage: Eukaryota; Metazoa; Chordata; Mammalia; Artiodactyla; Camelidae. The record is from RefSeq and is a predicted model, not a curated record.
GGUCCUCCUCCUGUUAUCUGUGAAGAGCGCCGGGCCGGAUCUCGGAGUUUCACAGCGGACUUGCCAGAGAUAGUGUUGAGAGAGAGAGAGAGAGACAGAGAAACAGAGAGAGAGAUUGAGAGACUGAUUCACGUGGACAUAGACGCAGAAACAAACCGGCGAGGCUCUCCAGGAGGCCCGGGGGCCCGCUCUGUCUAUCGCUCCACACCCCCGGCUGCACC